GUGCCAGCAGCCGCGGUAAUACGUAGGUGGCAAGCGUUGUCCGGAUUUAUUGGGCGUAAAGCACGUGCAGGUGGUUUCUUAAGUCUGAUGUGAAAUCCCACGGCUUAACCUUGGAGGGGCAUUGCAAACUGGGUGACUUGAGUGCAGAAGAGGAAAGUGGAAUUCCAAGUGUAGCGGUGAAAUGCGUAGAGAUUUGGAAGAAUACCAGUGGCGAAGGCGGCUUUCUGGACUGUAACUGACGCUGAGGCGCGAAAGCAUGGGGAGCAAACAGGAUUAGAUACCCUGGUAGUCCAUGCCGUAAACGAUGAAUGCUAAGUGUAAGAGGGUU
This 328-nucleotide ribosomal RNA is filed under the name uncultured bacterium. RNAcentral describes it as "bacterial SSU rRNA". It matches the Rfam family "Bacterial small subunit ribosomal RNA", at positions 505 to 832 of the family's 1533-position model. The record is from RNAcentral.